RNAcentral lists this ribosomal RNA (449 nucleotides) under uncultured bacterium. RNAcentral's name for it is "bacterial SSU rRNA". It matches the Rfam family "Bacterial small subunit ribosomal RNA", at positions 28 to 475 of the family's 1533-position model. The record is from RNAcentral.
GAUGAACGCUGGCGGCGUGCUUAACACAUGCAAGUCGAACGAAGCACUUUAUUUGAUUUCUUCGGAAUGAAGAUUUUGUGACUGAGUGGCGGACGGGUGAGUAACACGUGGGUAACCUGCCUCAUACAGGGGGAUAACAGUUGGAAACGACUGCUAAUACCGCAUAAGCGUACAGGGUCGCAUGACCUGGUGUGAAAAACUCCGGUGGUAUGAGAUGGACCCGCGUCUGAUUAGCCAGUUGGUGGGGUAACGGCCUACCAAAGCGACGAUCAGUAGCCGACCUGAGAGGGUGACCGGCCACAUUGGGACUGAGACACGGCCCAAACUCCUACGGGAGGCAGCAGUGGGGAAUAUUGCACAAUGGGGGAAACCCUGAUGCAGCGACGCCGCGUGAGCGAAGAAGUAUUUCGGUAUGUAAAGCUCUAUCAGCAGGGAAGAAGAAAUGACGG